RNAcentral lists this ribosomal RNA (661 nucleotides) under uncultured marine archaeon. RNAcentral describes it as "bacterial SSU rRNA". It matches the Rfam family "Archaeal small subunit ribosomal RNA", at positions 23 to 690 of the family's 1478-position model. The record is from RNAcentral.
CUGACUGCUAUCGGAUUGAUACUAAGCCAUGCGAGUCAUUGUAGCAAUACAAGGCAGACGGCUCAGUAACGCGUAGUCAACCUAACCUAUGGACGGGAAUAACCUCGGGAAACUGAGUAUAAUGCCCGAUAGAACAUUAUGCCUGGAAUGGUUUAUGUUCCAAAUGAUUUAUCGCCGUAGGAUGGGACUGCGGCCUAUCAGUUUGUUGGUGAGGUAAUGGCCCACCAAGACUAUUACAGGUACGGGCUCUGAGAGGAGUAGCCCGGAGAUGGGUACUGAGACACGGACCCAGGCCCUAUGGGGCGCAGCAGGCGAGAAAACUUUGCAAUGUGCGAAAGCACGACAAGGUUAAUCCGAGUGGUUUCUGCUAAAGGAACCUUUUGACAGUCCUAGAAACACUGUUGAAUAAGGGGUGGGCAAGUUCUGGUGUCAGCCGCCGCGGUAAAACCAGCACCUCAAGUGGUCAGGAUGAUUAUUGGGCCUAAAGCAUCCGUAGCCGGCUCUGUAAGUUUUCGGUUAAAUCUGUACGCUCAACGUACAGGCCGCCGGGAAUACUGCAGAGCUAGGGAGUGGGAGAGGUAGGCGGUACUCGGUAGGAAGGGGUAAAAUCCUUUGAUCUGUUGAUGACCACCUGUGGCGAAGGCGGUCUACCAGAACACGU